CCUACGGGUGGCAGCAGUGAGGAAUAUUGGUCAAUGGGCGGGAGCCUGAACCAGCCAAGCCGCGUGAGGGAAGAAGGUACAGCGUAUCGUAAACCUCUUUUGUCAGGGAACAAAGGCGGGGACUAGUCCCCGGAUGAGGGUACCUGAAGAAAAAGCAUCGGCUAACUCCGUGCCAGCAGCCGCGGUAAUACGGAGGAUGCGAGCGUUAUCCGGAUUUAUUGGGUUUAAAGGGUGCGCAGGCGGCCUGUUAAGUCAGCGGUAAAAGCCCGGGGCUCAACCCCGGCGAGCCGUUGAAACUGGCGGGCUGGAGUUGGAGAGAAGUACGCGGAAUGCGCGGUGUAGCGGUGAAAUGCUUAGAUAUCGCGCAGAACCCCGAUUGCGAAGGCAAGUGUCCGGGGUGCAACUGACGCUGAGGCUCGAAAGUGCGGGUAUCAAACAGGAUUAGAUACCCCAGUAGUC
This 459-nucleotide ribosomal RNA is filed under the name uncultured bacterium. RNAcentral describes it as "partial 16S ribosomal RNA". It matches the Rfam family "Bacterial small subunit ribosomal RNA", at positions 338 to 795 of the family's 1533-position model. The record is from RNAcentral.